AGAGUUUGAUCCUGGCUCAGGACGAACGCUGGCGGCGCGCCUAAAACAUGCAAGUCGAGCGAGAACCAGGGCUUCGGCUCUGGGGACAGCGGCGAACGGGUGCGUAACACGUGAGCAACCUGCCCCGAAGACCGGGACAAGCCGGGGAAACCUGGUCUAAUACCGGAUGCCCUCACCGGAUCGCAUGAUCUGGCGAGGAAAUGGAUUCCGCUUCGGGAUGGGCUCGCGGUCUAUCAGCUUGUUGGUGGGGUAACGGCCUACCAAGGCGACGACGGAUAGCUGGUCUGAGAGGACGAUCAGCCACACUGGGACUGAGACACGGCCCAGACUCCUACGGGAGGCAGCAGUUAGGAAUCUUGCGCAAUGGGGGAAACCCUGACGCAGCGACGCCGCGUGCGGGAUGAAGGCCUUCGGGUUGUAAACCGCUUUCAGCAGGGACGAAAUUGACGGUACCUGCAGAAGAAGGCCCGGCCAACUACGUGCCAGCAGCCGCGGUA
Molecule: ribosomal RNA, 497 nt
Filed under: uncultured Actinomycetes bacterium
Lineage: Bacteria; Bacillati; Actinomycetota; Actinomycetes
Description: bacterial SSU rRNA
Rfam family: Bacterial small subunit ribosomal RNA
Source: RNAcentral